This 299-nucleotide signal recognition particle RNA is filed under the name Octodon degus (degu). Its description in RNAcentral is "Metazoan signal recognition particle RNA (ENSODEG00000022818.1)". It matches the Rfam family "Metazoan signal recognition particle RNA". Rfam says of the family: The signal recognition particle (SRP) is a universally conserved ribonucleoprotein. It is involved in the co-translational targeting of proteins to membranes. Lineage: Eukaryota; Metazoa; Chordata; Mammalia; Rodentia; Octodontidae. The record is from Rfam by way of RNAcentral.
GCCGGGCGCGGUGGCGCGCGCCUGUAGUCCCAGCUACUCGGGGGGCUGAGGUGGGAGGAUCGCUUGAGUCCAGGACUUCUGGGCUGCAGUGUGCUAUGCCGAUCGGGUGUCCGCACUAAGUUCGGCAUCAAUAUGGUGACCUCCCGGGAGUGGGGGACCACCAGGUUGCCUAAGGAGGGGUGAGCCGGCCCAGGUCGGAAACGGAGCAGGUCAAAACUCCCGUGCUGAUCAAACCCAUCGAGACAUAUGAGAGUAGUAAAGAUCUCUCAACUUGUGGAGGAUUUGAAAAUUACUAUUAU